RNAcentral lists this ribosomal RNA (885 nucleotides) under Enterobacter hormaechei. RNAcentral's name for it is "partial 23S ribosomal RNA". It matches the Rfam family "Bacterial large subunit ribosomal RNA", at positions 1 to 930 of the family's 2925-position model. Lineage: Bacteria; Pseudomonadati; Pseudomonadota; Gammaproteobacteria; Enterobacterales; Enterobacteriaceae. The record is from RNAcentral.
GGUUAAGCGACUAAGCGUACACGGUGGAUGCCCUGGCAGUCAGAGGCGAUGAAGGACGUGCUAAUCUGCGAAAAGCGCCGGCGAGGUGAUAUGAACCCUUGACCCGGCGAUGUCCGAAUGGGGAAACCCAGUGCAAUCCGUUGCACUAUCGUUAACUGAAUACAUAGGUUAACGAGGCGAACCGGGGGAACUGAAACAUCUAAGUACCCCGAGGAAAAGAAAUCAACCGAGAUUCCCCCAGUAGCGGCGAGCGAACGGGGAGCAGCCCGGAGUCUGAAUCAGCUUGUGUGUUAGUGGAACGGUCUGGAAAGUCCGACGGUACAGGGUGAUAGUCCCGUACACGAAAGCACACAUGCUGUGAACUCGAAGAGUAGGGCGGGACACGUGGUAUCCUGUCUGAAUAUGGGGGGACCAUCCUCCAAGGCUAAAUACUCCUGACUGACCGAUAGUGAACCAGUACCGUGAGGGAAAGGCGAAAAGAACCCCGGCGAGGGGAGUGAAAAAGAACCUGAAACCGUGUACGUACAAGCAGUGGGAGCCUCUUUAUGGGGUGACUGCGUACCUUUUGUAUAAUGGGUCAGCGACUUAUAUUCUGUAGCAAGGUUAACCGUAUAGGGGAGCCGAAGGGAAACCGAGUCUUAACUGGGCGUUAAGUUGCAGGGUAUAGACCCGAAACCCGGUGAUCUAGCCAUGGGCAGGUUGAAGGUUGGGUAACACUAACUGGAGGACCGAACCGACUAAUGUUGAAAAAUUAGCGGAUGACCUGUGGCUGGGGGUGAAAGGCCAAUCAAACCGGGAGAUAGCUGGUUCUCCCCGAAAGCUAUUUAGGUAGCGCCUCGUGAAUUCAUCUUCGGGGGUAGAGCACUGUUUCGGCUAGGGGGCCAU